UACGGGAGGCAGCAGUGGGGAAUUCUUGGACAAUGGGGAAACCCCGAUCCAGCCAGUCCCGCGUGUGCGAGAAGGCCUUCGGGUUGUAAAGCACUUUUGGCAGGAAAGAAACGGCAUUACCCCGUGCAACUGACGGUACCUGCAGAAUAAGCACCGGCUAACUACGCCAGCAGCCGCGGUAAUACGUAGGGUGCAAGCGUUAAUCGGAAUUACUGGGCGUAAAGCGUGCGCAGGCGGUUCGGAAAGAAAGAUGUGAAAUCCCAGAGCUUAACUUUGGAACUGCAUUUUUAACCACGAGCUAGAGUGUCAGAGGGAGGUGGAAUUCCGCGUGUAGCAGUGAAAUGCGUAGAUAUGCGGAGGAACACCGAUGGCGAAGGCAGCUUCCUGGGAUAACACUGACGCUCAUGCACGAAAGCGUGGGAGCAAACAGGAUUAGAUACCCCCGUAGU
This 449-nucleotide unclassified non-coding RNA is filed under the name uncultured Bordetella sp. Its description in RNAcentral is "partial 16S-23S ribosomal RNA intergenic spacer". It matches the Rfam family "Bacterial small subunit ribosomal RNA", at positions 340 to 794 of the family's 1533-position model. Lineage: Bacteria; Pseudomonadati; Pseudomonadota; Betaproteobacteria; Burkholderiales; Alcaligenaceae. The record is from RNAcentral.